RNAcentral lists this transfer RNA (73 nucleotides) under Leptolyngbya sp. UWPOB_LEPTO1. Its description in RNAcentral is "tRNA-Met". It matches the Rfam family "tRNA". Rfam says of the family: Transfer RNA (tRNA) molecules are approximately 80 nucleotides in length. Lineage: Bacteria; Bacillati; Cyanobacteriota; Cyanophyceae; Leptolyngbyales; Leptolyngbyaceae. The record is from RNAcentral.
UGCAGUGUCCUGACGGUCAGGAUCUUGAUUCAUAUCCAAGAGAUUCGGGGUUCAACUCCCCGCACUGCGACCA